GAUGAAGAACGCAGCGAAAUGCGAUAAGUAAUGUGAAUUGCAGAAUUCCGUGAAUCAUCGAAUCUUUGAACGCACAUUGCGCCCCCUGGCAUUCCGGGGGGCAUGCCUGUCCGAGCGUCAUUUCUGCCCUCCAGCCCGGCUGGGUGUUGGGCGCUGUCCCCCCGGGGACACGCCCCAAAGGCAGUGGCGGCGCCGCGUCCGGUCCUCGAGCGUAUGGGGCUUUGUCACCCGCUCGGGACGGACUCGUCGGCGCUGGUCUUCCUCCAGGCGACCCUUCGGGGCUCGUCUUCCUUCGGUUGACCUCGGAUCAGGUAGGGUUACCCGCUGAACUUAAGCAUAUCAAUAAGCGGAGGA
Molecule: unclassified non-coding RNA, 354 nt
Filed under: soil metagenome
Description: partial contains 5.8S ribosomal RNA, internal transcribed spacer 2, and large subunit ribosomal RNA
Rfam family: 5.8S ribosomal RNA (bases 1-120)
Source: RNAcentral